UACGUAGGUGGCAAGCGAUACUCGGAAUCACUAGGCGUAAAGCGCAGGUAGGAGGUUUAGUAAGUCUGUUGUGAAAGCUCCCGGCUUAACUGGGAGAGGUCAACGGAAACUGCUAGGCUAGAGUGCGGUAGAGGUAGCUGGAAUUCCCGGUGUAGCGGUGAAAUGCGUAGAUAUCGGGAGGAAUACCUAUGGCGAAGGCAGCACUCUGGGACGUGACUGACGCUGAGACGCGAAAGCGUGGGGAGCAAACAGG
This 253-nucleotide ribosomal RNA is filed under the name uncultured bacterium. Its description in RNAcentral is "partial 16S ribosomal RNA". It matches the Rfam family "Bacterial small subunit ribosomal RNA", at positions 524 to 776 of the family's 1533-position model. The record is from RNAcentral.